This 253-nucleotide ribosomal RNA is filed under the name uncultured bacterium. RNAcentral describes it as "partial 16S ribosomal RNA". It matches the Rfam family "Bacterial small subunit ribosomal RNA", at positions 524 to 776 of the family's 1533-position model. The record is from RNAcentral.
UACGUAGGGUGCGAGCGUUACUCGGAAUUACUGGGCGUAAAGAGUGCGUAGGCGGUUCUUGAAGUCCGCUGUGAAAGCCCCGGGCUUAACCUGGGAAUGGCAGUGGAAACUGGAGGACUUGAAUUGAGCAGAGGGGGGUGGAAUGCCGCGUGUAGCAGUGAAAUGCGUAGAGAUGCGGCGGAACACCGAUGGCGAAGGCAGCCCCCUGGGCUUAAAUUGACGCUGAGGCACGAAAGCGUGGGGAGCAAACAGG